GAUGAACGCUGGCGGCGUGCCUAAUACAUGCAAGUCGAGCGAACGGACGAGAAGCUUGCUUCUCUGAUGUUAGCGGCGGACGGGUGAGUAACACGUGGAUAACCUACCUAUAAGACUGGGAUAACUUCGGGAAACCGGAGCUAAUACCGGAUAAUAUUUUGAACCGCAUGGUUCAAAAGUGAAAGACGGUCUUGCUGUCACUUAUAGAUGGAUCCGCGCUGCAUUAGCUAGUUGGUAAGGUAACGGCUUACCAAGGCAACGAUGCAUAGCCGACCUGAGAGGGUGAUCGGCCACACUGGAACUGAGACACGGUCCAGACUCCUACGGGAGGCAGCAGUAGGGAAUCUUCCGCAAUGGGCGAAAGCCUGACGGAGCAACGCCGCGUGAGUGAUGAAGGUCUUCGGAUCGUAAAACUCUGUUAUUAGGGAAGAACAUAUGUGUAAGUAACUGUGCACAUCUUGACGGUACCUAAUCAGAAAGCCACGGCUAACUACGUGCCAGCAGCCGCGGUAAUACGUAGGUGGCAAGCGUUAUCCGGAAUUAUUGGGCGUAAAGCGCGCGUAGGCGGUUUUUUAAGUCUGAUGUGAAAGCCCACGGCUCAACCGUGGAGGGUCAUUGGAAACUGGAAAACUUGAGUGCAGAAGAGGAAAGUGGAAUUCCAUGUGUAGCGGUGAAAUGCGCAGAGAUAUGGAGGAACACCAGUGGCGAAGGCGACUUUCUGGUCUGUAACUGACGCUGAUGUGCGAAAGCGUGGGGAUCAAACAGGAUUAGAUACCCUGGUAGUCCACGCCGUAAACGAUGAGUGCUAAGUGUUAGGGGGUUUCCGCCCCUUAGUGCUGCAGCUAACGCAUUAAGCACUCCGCCUGGGGAGUACGACCGCAAGGUUGAAACUCAAAGGAAUUGACGGGGACCCGCACAAGCGGUGGAGCAUGUGGUUUAAUUCGAAGCAACGCGAAGAACCUUACCAAAUCUUGACAUCCUUUGACAACUCUAGAGAUAGAGCCUUCCCCUUCGGGGGACAAAGUGACAGGUGGUGCAUGGUUGUCGUCAGCUCGUGUCGUGAGAUGUUGGGUUAAGUCCCGCAACGAGCGCAACCCUUAAGCUUAGUUGCCAUCAUUAAGUUGGGCACUCUAAGUUGACUGCCGGUGACAAACCGGAGGAAGGUGGGGAUGACGUCAAAUCAUCAUGCCCCUUAUGAUUUGGGCAACACACGUGCUACAAUGGACAAUACAAAGGGCAGCGAAACCGCGAGGUCAAGCAAAUCCCAUAAAGUUGUUCUCAGUUCGGAUUGUAGUCUGCAACUCGACUACAUGAAGCUGGAAUCGCUAGUAAUCGUAGAUCAGCAUGCUACGGUGAAUACGUUCCCGGGUCU
This 1372-nucleotide ribosomal RNA is filed under the name uncultured bacterium. Its description in RNAcentral is "bacterial SSU rRNA". It matches the Rfam family "Bacterial small subunit ribosomal RNA", at positions 28 to 1381 of the family's 1533-position model. The record is from RNAcentral.